Molecule: long non-coding RNA, 1854 nt
Organism: Oncorhynchus keta (chum salmon)
Lineage: Eukaryota; Metazoa; Chordata; Actinopteri; Salmoniformes; Salmonidae
Exons: 3
Source: RefSeq, a predicted model, not a curated record
UUCAGCAGUUUCUCUGGUACACGUUUUCAGCAUUGAUAUUCUACAGGGGCACCCAUUUCCCAUACCAAAUAUUCCACGUAGCUCUUUCUUGGACCCGACGAGCAUUCCCGCAUUCCUAAUUGUGAGGUAAUUUGUUAAGUUGGGCUACCGUCUGAAGGGGGCAAGACGAUAGGGGGCUGUUUCUUCAUCAACAAUUCAUCAAGGCCGGCUAUGUCAAACGUGGAUUUUCUUGAGGUAUUUAAUUAGCAUUUGUCAUUGGCGCCAGAUCCAUGAGGUGCAACGUGUCCCGCUAUGCCGGCUUUAUCUUCAGGUCAUUACGGAUAUGAGUCAGGGAUGAUCAACAGCUUUCUCUUCUCUGUUUCCUCACCACAACAUGCCUAGCAUAACAACGUCUAAUUUUUUACUUUGCAGUCUAAGGGAAUAAGGCCAUUUUAGGAGCUAUGGAGGUUCACUAUUCUCUCCUUGUCUCGCCAUUAAUCUUCUACAGGCUGGCUGACCCUACAAGAGCUGACCCGUAAAUAAACAUUAAGUCGCAUAACCUAAGAAAUGAGUAAUUCCCACAGGCCCUCUUUGUCAAUGUCUAGCGGUGGUUUGGUCAAAGACACCAUUUUAAGUCAGUUGGGAGAAUUGUAAGGCGACAUCCAAAAUGGCUGUGGGUCUCAACACAAACCAUGUAAGGUAUUAGUCUUUAUGCCAUACGAGAGAGGAGAGUUUUGAGAGCAUUGGCAUGAAACCCAGCCACACAAUGAAAACUGUUCGCUUUCAUUUGGCUAGCCCACUUGUUUUGGAUGGGUUCUUUUGUGGGUUUAUGUAAAAAUGAAAAGACCUCUUAAGAUAGGGUGACCAGACGUCCCCGUUUUCCAGGGACAGUCCCCGUUUUUGGUGGCCUGUCCCCGGCUGGAGCUCCAUUAAAAACACUGCAAAGUGAAAUAAUAUUUUAAGUGGCAAGAAAGACCGGGCAGCAGAGCCUAUCGGUUGACGUCUCAAUUGCGUUGUGCUUGUUUUGUCCAGCUUGCUAUAGCAGCUUCACUCACUCUUCUUCUUCUACUAACUACUUGCUCGUGAUAGUUUUAGAGAAAACUGCUGUGGAAAACUCAGCCAGAAGCUAGCAAGUAUCAAGUGAAUCCACAUCAUCCCCACAAACGUCUUUUCAAGUCAGAUUGGAGAGGAAGGAGAAGGAAAAAUUAAGGGAGGAGAUUAGAAGAGUGAGGUGGAAAGGUAAAGAGAAGGAAAGGAAGGAAGACGAGUGAAGAAAAGAAGAGGAGAAAGAUUGGAGCAGAAGAAAAAGUUAAGAGAGUAAGAAGAGCAGACAGAGGAGGUACAAUGGCUCUUUCCAAGAAACGGAAUGAAUGGUAUAUGGACAGCAGCAAGAAAUAGGUUCACUGUUCCUAUGCGUAUUGUGAAGACAAACUUCAAUCUCCCUUGCCAGGAGUUCAUGGAGAAGCUGGCCAAAGACAGAGUAAUCCUGAAAAAGAUACAUUCUUCUGAGAAAUUUACAGAUUAGACUACCAGGACCACUGAAUGGCUGCUCAGAUUGGACAGUUCUGUCUUGUCUGUUGUGUUUCUGUUUUCUCUAUCACAGUGUGCCUGUUAGACUAAAUAUAUGAAACUGGAAUUGUCCCCCAUUCUACUGGUAGUACCCAUCAUGGUCUAAUCAGCCAAAUAAAGUAAAGACAUGUAAUUUUACUAAUGUGCUUAUUAUGAAUCCCAUUCACCCUAUUUUGCCCAAAAUAAUUAUCAAAUAAAGUUAUAUAGAUUUUUGUAACUUCAGAAAUGUAAUUCAUUUAACUUUGCAGAAUGUCUGUGUGCUUAAAUACUGAAAUUUGCCUGAAUGUCUGUGAAUAUGUAACCAAC